Lotus japonicus is the source of this 2454-nucleotide long non-coding RNA. RefSeq lists it as uncharacterized. The record is from RefSeq and is a predicted model, not a curated record. The transcript is spliced from 3 exons. NCBI's taxonomy places the organism in Eukaryota, Viridiplantae, Streptophyta, Magnoliopsida, Fabales, Fabaceae.
UUUAACUUUGUACACGGUUUAUUGGAAGAAUAUUGCUAGAAAUAAGGAGUAGAAUGAAUCUGACUUGAUUUGCCGUGUCUUACUUUGAAUUUCAAAUUCAAAUAUUGGUGCUUUAACCCUUUUUCUAGCACGAGGCUCAUUAAUCAUUUUAAACAAAUAUGGUGAGGGAAAUCAGAUCUUUUAGUCAAACCUGAUGCUUUCGUUUAUGCUCUAUUUCCUUCACUCUCUCACUUCCUGAUGCUAACGUUUAUGCUCAGAUCCCUAAUCCCAAUGGCAGGGGUUCAAAUCCUCCGCAACCCACUUCCAAAACCCCUCCAGGGUUGAUGGUGUAUGCUCCUUCAAGGCCUUUCUCUUCCACUCCAUGAUGUUGUCGACGUCGUUUCACCCUCCGAGCCCCAAUCCCCCUAUCCGAGACAAUCCCGCUCCACUGCGAGCUCAUAUCCUGCAGGUCCCUUGGCAAGAAACCCUCCUGCAGGUUCCACUGUGACUUAGGAGCAAAGCUCCAACUGUGGAAGUGAGGCUCAAGAAUUUGACUAUUGAGGUUGAUUCCUAUGUUGUCAGCAGAGCUUUGCCAAACCUACCAAGGUCUGCAUUGAACAUUGUAGAAAUACUUCUUGGAGCCGGUGGGAUUAGUACUACUAUGGGAACAAAGCUCAUAAUUCCAAAUUAGAAGCUGAGAUGUUUCUCAUAGAAACCCUUGGAUCAUAUGACCCUGACUACUUCCUGCUAUUGCACCCCGGCGACCUCUACUUUUCCGUCAAUCAACUUCCUGAAGAAUCUUCUUUACCAUUCUUGUUCCGAAUACCAAGAGUUGUCGGAGCAACUUUUUACGAUUGGAGCAUCUUACUAAGGUGACUUAUACUGAACAACCAGGGGGGGGGAGAAGACAUUAUGAGAUAUCUUGAACAUAAAAUGGGUGAGCGAAGCAAAACAUUGAGUGCUUGGUCUCUGUAAGUUUCCUUUUUUUUGUCUUCAUUUGUCUGCAGACUGCUAUUAAUGCAAGACAGUUUUAUAACUUUUAUCUCAUUCAAUCUCUGCGAAGUCCCAACUGCUUAUUGUGUUUGGUGCCAAUGUUUAAGUUGGUUUCAUUGCUUACUAUUAUUGUUGAACUUCUAUGCACUGUAUGAUGAUAGUUCUUUUAUAUAAAAAUAAAGGUUUGUUUUUUUUAAAAAAAAGAACUGUCACUUGGAAGUUAUGUUAUUUUAAUCUUGGCUUAAUUACACGUUUGGUCCUCCAACUUUGGCCCUCAUGCGAAAAUCGUCCCCAAACUUUAAAAUUAGCAAAAAACAUCCCUAACGUUUACACCCGGUUGCAAAAAUGGUCUACCGUCCAAUUCCAUCCAAUAUUUAACGAAUUAUGGGAUAAAAAUUAAUAAAAGAUAAGAAAAUAAAACAAAAACCUAGAAAUUUAUGAAUGUUCAUGUUCUUCAAAGAUAUGGGUUCUAAAUCUCUUCUCUCUUCAACCCAAAACCUAGAUGCAAUGAACUCAAUUACCCAAAAUACAUGAAACCCAAAUACAUAAUUCAAACAUUUUGACCGACAAAUACAUUUCAAAGAUCUGGGUUCUAAAUCUUUUCUCGGAUUCGAAGAGAUAUACCUAGUUUAUAGGUUUUUUUUUUUGCGGUUUCAACCCGUUGUUCCCUUCCAAGGGCGAAGAGGCACCUCUCUGCCACCGCCGUCACGCCUCUUCUCUCCAAAAUCCAUAUCUGAUGAAGAUCUCUGAUUGUUCAUGCAAAUAUAGCAGUGGCCGCUCCAAUCUCCCCCUCGAACCUUCACCCAACGUAACAACGACGACCAAGUGUGAAGCAUUUGCCCAGAUCGCAGAGGAGGUGAUGGGUUGAGGAUGAUGAUGGCUGGGGGUUUUGAGAUGGCAGUGCUUACAUCGCUGUCAGACACGGCGGAGCAGAAAGAGGUUCUGUGGUGACUAUGGUUGAUUCCGGUGACAAAGCUUGAGGCUGGAGAGGACGAGGCGAUGCAACAGAUCUGACGAGGUGCGUGGCGGUGGCGAUUUAGAAGGGAUCUGGCUUUUUUUUUUUGAAUGGGUUUCCAUGGGUUAACUCUGUUUCUUUGCUUUUUUUCCUGAUGAUGUUUGAGUAGCUGUGUGAGGUUGAGGGUGUAUUUUCUGCUUGAUUUCAUGAAUAUUGUUGGGUGAUUUUUUUUAGCCUUGUUGGUGAUUUUUUGGGUGGAUUUUCAUUUGCCACUGGUAAUUAGUUUUUAGUGGUGGUGUUCAGAGACAUUGAGUUGAUUCCUGCCUGUGAUUCUUCAUGAUAAAUCUGAUGGCAAUUUCAAUUUCAUGAAGGUGAAAACUGUUGUUGUUGUUGUUGUUGUUGUUGUUGUUGUUGUUGUUGUUGUUGUUGUUGUUGUUGUUGUUGUUGUUGUUGUUGUUGUUGUUCUGUCUGCUGGACUGUUGCUCGUCCCUAAGGGCUUUGAUAAGUAUGAAUUGAAGUGAAAGAUG